GACGAACGCUGGCGGCGUGCCUAAUACAUGCAAGUCGAACGCAGGGGGAACGGGUGAGUAACACGUUGGUAACCUCCCAUCAGAGGGAUAACACUUGGAAACAGGUGCUAAACCGAUACUGAUGGAUGAACCCGCGGUGCAUUAGGUAGUUGGUGAGGUAACGGCUCACCAAGGCCACGAUGCAUAGACGACAUGAGAGGGGAAGCGGCCAAACAGGGACUGAGACACGGCCCAGAAUCCUACGGCAGGAAGAAGUAGGGAAUCUUCAGCAAUGGUCGAAAUUCUGACCGAGCAACGCCGCGUGAGUGAAGAAGGUUUUCGGAUCGUAAACCUCUGUUGUUAGAGAAGCGGUAUCUAACCUGAAAGCCACGGCUAACUACGUGCCAGCAGCCGCGGUAAUAC
RNAcentral lists this ribosomal RNA (402 nucleotides) under uncultured bacterium. RNAcentral describes it as "partial 16S ribosomal RNA". It matches the Rfam family "Bacterial small subunit ribosomal RNA", at positions 28 to 526 of the family's 1533-position model. The record is from RNAcentral.